GACCUGGGCUACACACGUGCUACAAUGGGCGGUACAAAGGGUCGCGAACCCGCGAGGGGGAGGCCAAUCCCAAAAAGCCGCUCUCAGUUCGGAUUGCAGGCUGCAACUCGCCUGCAUGAAGCCGGAAUCGCUAGUAAUCGCGGAUCAGCAUGCCGCGGUGAAUACGUUCCCGGGCCUU
Molecule: ribosomal RNA, 178 nt
Filed under: uncultured Anoxybacillus sp.
Lineage: Bacteria; Bacillati; Bacillota; Bacilli; Caryophanales; Anoxybacillaceae
Description: partial 16S ribosomal RNA
Rfam family: Bacterial small subunit ribosomal RNA
Source: RNAcentral